RNAcentral lists this ribosomal RNA (273 nucleotides) under uncultured Acidovorax sp. RNAcentral describes it as "partial 16S ribosomal RNA". It matches the Rfam family "Bacterial small subunit ribosomal RNA", at positions 1107 to 1382 of the family's 1533-position model. Lineage: Bacteria; Pseudomonadati; Pseudomonadota; Betaproteobacteria; Burkholderiales; Comamonadaceae. The record is from RNAcentral.
GUCAUUAGUUGCUACAUUCAGUUGGGCACUCUAAUGAGACUGCCGGUGACAACCGGAGGAAGGUGGGGAUGACGUCAAGUCCUCAUGGCCCUUAUAGGUGGGGCUACACACGUCAUACAAUGGAUGGUACAAAGGGUCGCCAACCCGCGAGGGGGGAGCCAAUCCCAUAAAGCCAUUCGUAGUCCGGAUCGCAGUCUGCAACUCGACUGCGUGAAGUCGGAAUCGCUAGUAAUCGUGGAUCAGAAUGUCACGGUGAAUACGUUCCCGGGUCUU